RNAcentral lists this non-coding RNA (118 nucleotides) under Flavonifractor plautii. RNAcentral's name for it is "Azaaromatic sequence". It matches the Rfam family "azaaromatic riboswitch aptamer (yjdF RNA)". RNAcentral also lists the same sequence under 2 other names. The record is from RNAcentral. Lineage: Bacteria; Bacillati; Bacillota; Clostridia; Eubacteriales; Oscillospiraceae.
GAGGGCGGAACGAAAAACACGGCCCGGUUGGUAGUCCGGGCGCGGUCCGGGGGAGCGUCCCGCCCCCGGGACCGUCAGUAACCUGCCUCCUUGGUUGUCCGCGCUCCGCGCAAGACCU